Molecule: ribosomal RNA, 328 nt
Filed under: uncultured eukaryote
Lineage: Eukaryota
Description: partial 18S ribosomal RNA
Rfam family: Eukaryotic small subunit ribosomal RNA
Source: RNAcentral
CCCUUAGAUGUUCUGGGCCGCACGCGCGCUACACUGAUGCAUUCAACGAGUCUAAAACCUGCUCUGAUAGGGGUGGGUAAUCUUUUGAAUGUGCAUCGUGAUUGGGAUAGAUGAUUGCAAUUUUUCAUCUUCAACGAGGAAUGCCUAGUAAACGCAAGUCAUCAGCUUGCAUUGAUUACGUCCCUGCCCUUUGUACACACCGCCCGUCGCUCCUACCGAUUGAAUGAUCCGAUGAAUAUCAUGGAUUGAGGAUGCAAGCAGGUUCGCCUGUCUUCAUCUUCGAGAAGUGAAGUAAAUCUUAUCAUUAGAGGAAGGAGAAGUCGUAACA